RNAcentral lists this ribosomal RNA (253 nucleotides) under uncultured bacterium. RNAcentral's name for it is "partial 16S ribosomal RNA". It matches the Rfam family "Bacterial small subunit ribosomal RNA", at positions 524 to 776 of the family's 1533-position model. The record is from RNAcentral.
UACGUAGGUGGCAAGCGUUAUCCGGAAUUACUGGGUGUAAAGGGCGUGUAGGCGGGGAGGCAAGUCAAAUAUGAAAUUCCAGAGCUCAACUCUGGCGCUGCAUUUGAGACUGCUUCUCUUGAGUACUGGAGAGGAAAGUGGAAUUCCUAGUGUAGCGGUGAAAUGCGUAGAUAUUAGGAGGAACACCAGUGGCGAAGGCGACUUUCUGGACAGUAACUGACGCUGAGGCGCGAAAGCGUGGGGAGCAAACAGG